GAAAUUAGAGGAAGAGAGGAGAAAGGUAAUGAACAUGACAAUGUAACAAUACCAUAUUUGAAAUAACAAAAAAAUUGUAGAAAUGAAGACUCGAAGCUCUGGGAAACUGGAUUAUUCGAGCAUCUUCUGGCCACCGUAAAAAAAAUCCGAGCACUCUCUGACCAACGCCAAAAAUUGGAUUGUCAAAUUCUAAACCAGGAAAGGCCUAUAUCUCUGCAGAUACCGGUGGUUAAAUUGUAGAAAUUGGUUCCCAAAAGCCCUUAUUUCAAUGCUUGAACUAUGAACAAAGAAGUGUUACCUUAUGAAACCAAUAUUAGAUGGAAGAAUCAUGUAGAGAUUGCUCCCCAAAAGCCCAAACUUCAAAUCUUUAGAGCAGAGGUUGGGGGCGAGUGGUGACGAGCAAAAUCAAAGUUAUUCUAGUUAGCCGGGGCAGAAGCAGCGGCUGCAAUGGUAGAGAAACAGGAAAUGUGCUAAGACAGAAAGAAUGACUUUCAAAAGAGCAGCUGUCACGGUCAUCAAGGUCAUUAAUUGAGGCCACAGUGGUGGUGGUAGGAUCCAGAAGAAAUGAUGAUUGAACGAAGGAGGAGAAGAAGGUGCAGAUUUUC
This 605-nucleotide long non-coding RNA is filed under the name Ricinus communis (castor bean). Its description in RNAcentral is "long non-coding RNA (RCOM_LNC001869)". Lineage: Eukaryota; Viridiplantae; Streptophyta; Magnoliopsida; Malpighiales; Euphorbiaceae. The record is from RNAcentral.